This 440-nucleotide ribosomal RNA is filed under the name uncultured bacterium. RNAcentral's name for it is "partial 16S ribosomal RNA". It matches the Rfam family "Bacterial small subunit ribosomal RNA", at positions 338 to 795 of the family's 1533-position model. The record is from RNAcentral.
CCUACGGGAGGCAGCAGUGGGGAAUAUUGGACAAUGGGGGGAACCCUGAUCCAGCGAAGCAGCGUGAGUGAAGAAGUAUUUCGGUAUGUAAAGCUCUAUCAGCAGGGAAGAAAAUGACGGUACCUGACUAAGAAGCCACGGCUAACUACGUGCCAGCAGCCGCGGUAAUACGUAGGGGGCAAGCGUUAUCCGGAUUUACUGGGUGUAAAGGGAGCGUAGACGGUGCAGCAAGUCUGAUGUGAAAUGUCGGGGCCCAACCCCGGGAGUGCAUUGAGAACUGUUGAACUGGAGUACAGGAAAGGUAAGCGGAAUUCGUAGUGUAGCGGUGAAAUGCGUAGAUAUUAGGAGGAACACCAGUUGCGAAGGCAGCCUGCUGGACUGUAACUGACGUUGAGGCUCGAAAGCGUGGGUAGCAAACAGGAUUAGAUACCCUUGUAGUC